Dendroctonus ponderosae (mountain pine beetle) is the source of this 283-nucleotide long non-coding RNA. RefSeq lists it as uncharacterized. The record is from RefSeq and is a predicted model, not a curated record. NCBI's taxonomy places the organism in Eukaryota, Metazoa, Arthropoda, Insecta, Coleoptera, Curculionidae. The transcript is spliced from 2 exons.
UCUUCGAUCUUACUCAUCGUAAAGCGAAUGAGUGGGAUGGUUUUCAUAACAAAACAUGACUCUUCGUAGAAUUAAGGACAAACAUCAUAAGCUGCAUUCUUUCCUUGGAUUGUCCUACCUAAUUUACACCUAAGCUUCAACAAACCCCAAACUAUUUCAAUAUUCUCCAUGUAAAGGAAUACCUACAAUGUUUGUCCUCAAACAUAUCCUUAAAACUUGCUGGUUGGAAUGUGAAAUGGUUUUAAAACAAUGUAACUCAUUAAAGUUUGGUAGAUCAUUUAAA